Molecule: ribosomal RNA, 406 nt
Filed under: uncultured bacterium
Lineage: Bacteria
Description: partial 16S ribosomal RNA
Rfam family: Bacterial small subunit ribosomal RNA
Source: RNAcentral
AUUGAACGCUGGCGGCAGGCUUAACACAUGCAAGUCGAGCGAGCGGCGGACGGGUGAGUAAUGUCUGGGAAACUGCCUGAUGGAGGGGGAUAACUCCUGGCAACGGUAGCUAAUACCGCAUACCCUCUGGUGUGGCCCGAUGGGAUUAGCUGGUAGUUGGGGUAACGGCUCACCUAGGCGACGAUCCCUAGCUGGUCUGAGAGGAUGACCAGCCACACGGUAACUGAGACACGGGCCAGACUCCUACGGGAGGCAGCAGUGGGGAAUGUUGGACAAUGGGCGAAAGCCUGAUGCAGCCAGGCCGCGUGUGUGAAGAAGGCCUUCGGGUUGUAAAGCACUUUCAGCGGGGAGGCGUUACCCGCAGAAGAAGCACCGGCUAACUCCGUGCCAGCAGCCGCGGUAAUUC